AUUGAACGCUGGCGGCAGGCCUAACACAUGCAAGUCGAGCGGAUGAAGGGAGCUUGCUCCUGGAUUCAGCGGCGGACGGGUGAGUAAUGCCUAGGAAUCUGCCUGGUAGUGGGGGAUAACGUCCGGAAACGGGCGCUAAUACCGCAUACGUCCUGAGGGGGAAAGUGGGGGAUCUUCGGACCUCACGCUAUCAGAUGAGCCUAGGUCGGAUUAGCUAGUUGGUGGGGUAAAGGCCUACCAAGGCGACGAUCCGUAACUGGUCUGAGAGGAUGAUCAGUCAAACUGGAACUUGGAACCGGGCCCGAAUCCUAAGGGAGGCAGCAGUGGGGAAUAUUGGACCAUGGGGGAAAGCCUUAUCCAGCCAUGCCGGGUGGUUGAAGAAGGGUCUCGGAUUUGAAAGCACUUUUAGUUGGGAGGAAGGGCAGGUAGGUAAUACCUUGCUGUUUUGACGUUACCAACAGAAUAAGCACCGGCUAACUUCGUG
Molecule: ribosomal RNA, 484 nt
Filed under: uncultured bacterium
Lineage: Bacteria
Description: partial 16S ribosomal RNA
Rfam family: Bacterial small subunit ribosomal RNA
Source: RNAcentral